CGCGGGGUGGAGGAGUAGUACCUCACAAGGCUCAUAACCUUGAGGCGCCGGUGCAAUUCCGGCCCCCGCAA
RNAcentral lists this transfer RNA (71 nucleotides) under Minisyncoccota bacterium. Its description in RNAcentral is "tRNA-Met". It matches the Rfam family "tRNA". From Rfam's summary of the family: Transfer RNA (tRNA) molecules are approximately 80 nucleotides in length. Their secondary structure includes four short double-helical elements and three loops (D, anti-codon, and T loops). Lineage: Bacteria; Bacillati; Minisyncoccota. RNAcentral also lists the same sequence under 1 other name. The record is from RNAcentral.